This 511-nucleotide ribosomal RNA is filed under the name uncultured bacterium. Its description in RNAcentral is "partial 16S ribosomal RNA". It matches the Rfam family "Bacterial small subunit ribosomal RNA", at positions 28 to 507 of the family's 1533-position model. The record is from RNAcentral.
GAUGAACGCUGGCGGCGUGCCUAAUACAUGCAAGUCGAACGAAACUUCUUUAUCACCGAGUGCUUGCACUCACCGAUAAAGAGUUGAGUGGCGAACGGGUGAGUAACACGUGGGCAACCUGCCCAAAAGAGGGGGAUAACACUUGGAAACAGGUGCUAAUACCGCAUAACCAUAGUUACCGCAUGGUAACUAUGUAAAAGGUGGCUAUACUACCGCUUUUGGAUGGGCCCGCGGCGCAUUAGCUAGUUGGUAGGGUAAAGGCUUACCAAGGCAUGAUGCGUAGCCGAAUUGAGAGGUUGAUCGGCCACAUUGGGACUGAGACACGGCCCAAACUCCUACGGGAGGCAGCAGUAGGGAAUCUUCCACAAUGGGCGAAAGCCUGAUGGAGCAACGCCGCGUGGGUGAAGAAGGUCUUCGGAUCGUAAAACCCUGUUGUUAGAGAAGAAAGUGCGUGAGAGUAACUGUUCACGUUUCGACGGUAUCUAACCAGAAAGCCACGGCUAACUACGUG